GACGAACGCUGGCGGCGUGCCUAAUACAUGCAAGUAGAACGCUGAAGAGAGGGGCUUGCUCUUCUUGGCUGAGUUGCGAACGGGUGAGUAACGCGUAGGUAACCUGCCUUGUAGCGGGGGAUAACUAUUGGAAACGAUAGCUAAUACCGCAUAACAAUGGAUGACACAUGUCAUUUAUUUGAAAGGGGCAAUUGCUCCACUACAAGAUGGACCUGCGUUGUAUUAGCUAGUAGGUGAGGUAAUGGCUCACCUAGGCGACGAUACAUAGCCGACCUGAGAGGGUGAUCGGCCACACUGGGACGGAGACACGGCCCAGACUCCUACGGGAGGCAGCAGUAGGGAAUCUUCGGCAAUGGGGGCAACCCUGACCGAGCAACGCCGCGUGAGUGAAGAAGGUUUUCGGAUCGUAAAGCUCUGUUGUAAGUCAAGAACGGGUGUGAGAGUGGAAAGUUCACACUGUGACGGUAGCUUACCAGAAAGGGACGGCUAACUACGUG
This 497-nucleotide ribosomal RNA is filed under the name uncultured bacterium. RNAcentral's name for it is "partial 16S ribosomal RNA". It matches the Rfam family "Bacterial small subunit ribosomal RNA", at positions 28 to 507 of the family's 1533-position model. The record is from RNAcentral.